This 1086-nucleotide long non-coding RNA is filed under the name Helianthus annuus (common sunflower). RNAcentral's name for it is "hypothetical non coding rna". The record is from RNAcentral. Lineage: Eukaryota; Viridiplantae; Streptophyta; Magnoliopsida; Asterales; Asteraceae.
UUGGUCUGUGUUUGGUGGGGGUGAGCGUACGAUCGAGAGAGAGAGCAAGGGAUGAACCAAAACCCUAACAACACAAAUCCAUCAAAUUGAAAGGGGAAUUGAAGGCUAUUUGGAUGCAUGAACCAGGAAUGUUAAUUACCUAAGUGUUUCUAACAUCAAGAACAAAGAAAGACGAAGGAACAAGUCAAUCCAAGGCGCUAGAAACGCAAGAUUUCGGUAAAUCCUCACUUUAGGCGAUUUGGAGAUUUGGAGCGAGCACGGGUCCAUGUUAUGUUAUACCAAAAGCUUCCGCUAGUUUAUGUUCGUCCUUAUGGUCCAUGACUUGUUAUUUUGUCCAACUUUGUUAGUAGUAGUAUUUUUUUUGCAAAACUUGUUGUCUUUGUUUUGGGUAGUUUAAUGUUAAAAGGGUCGUAGAUUGUUGUUAGUUUAUUAUGUUAAAAACAGGGCGCAUGUUCGUUUUACAAACGGGUCAUGCCCAAUUUUUGUAAGAAUUUUUUUUAUGUAUCAAAGUUGGUAUUUUGACGUUUUUAAAUUAUUUUGUAAGUAAAUUAUUAUUAUGGAAAAGCGGACCUUACAAGUUGGUAUCAGAGCCAAGGUUUGAGGGAUUCGGGCAAGAGUCCUAGCGCUCGAACUCAAACCAAAUGGCUCGUGCUAAUGUGCUCACUCCAAGAUCGCCAAUGAGGAACAAAGAAAGACGAAGGAACAAGUCCAUCCAAGGCGCUAGAAACGCAAGAUUUCGGUAAAUCCUCACUUUAGGCGAUUUGGAGAUUUGGAGCGAGCACGGGUCCAUGUUAUGUUAUACCAAAAGCUUCCGCUAGUUUAUGUUCGUCCUUAUGGUCCAUGACUUGUUAUUUUGUCCAACUUUGUUAGUAGUAAUAUUUUUUUUUGCAAAACUUGUUGUCUUUGUUUUGGGUAGUUUAAUGUUAAAAGGGUCGUAGAUUGUUGUUAGUUUAUUAUGUUAAAAACAGGGCGCAUGUUCGUUUUACAAACGGGUCAUGCCCAAUUUUUGUAAGAAUUUUUUUUUUUUAUGUAUCAAAGUUGGUAUUUUGACAUUUUUAAAUUAUUUUGUAAGUAAAUUAUUAUUAU